This is a long non-coding RNA of Camelus dromedarius (Arabian camel), 5305 nucleotides long. RefSeq lists it as uncharacterized. NCBI's taxonomy places the organism in Eukaryota, Metazoa, Chordata, Mammalia, Artiodactyla, Camelidae. The transcript is spliced from 3 exons. The record is from RefSeq and is a predicted model, not a curated record.
GUCAGUCUUCCACAUCGACUAGACUGUCUAUUUAUUUUUACCUUUUCCUUUGGGGCCUAAUUGUGAUGGGCUGGAUGUCUGUGUGCCACUCCCCACCAACAGUUCACAUGCUGAAGCCCUACUCCCCAGUGUGAUGGUAUUAGGAGGCGGGGCCUUGGGGAGGUGAUUAGGUCAUGCGGAAAAAGCCUUCAUGAAUGGGAUUAGUGUUCUUAUGAGAAGAAAUAAGAGAACUCUCUCUCUCUCUCCCCCACCUCCCUCUUCCUGCACCCGGUGAAGAUACAACGAGAAGUCAGCCUUCCAUAAGCCAAGAAGAGAGCUCUCACCAAGAGCUUGACUAUCUGGCCCUCUGACCUUGGACUUCAGCCCCUGGAACUGCUGAAAAUUCUGAUGUGCAUUGGACACAGCUUCCUAGAGGGUCUUCACUGGAGACGUGAUGGAUCACGUGGUCACCUUCUCCUCCUCCUGCCCUUGACUCCUGUCUGCUGGGCUCACUCUCCAAAAUAACUUUCCUUUACAAAAGCCCUUGUCAUAGGCUCUGCUUUCUGUGAGGAAUCCCGGCUGAGACGCUAAAACGAUAUACGAGGAUGAAGACAUGAAGAUGAGUUGUUAAGGGACUGGCAGGGUUGUCCAUCUCUGUGAAGGGGGUUCAAAAAGAUGUUUGGGAAGCACUGGCCCCGAUGACCGUUGGGAUCAUAGCAUGAAGAGUGAGAGUGGUCAGGUCCCCAUCCAGCCCUAAUGGGUUUAUGAGUUUCUGAGUUUUCCACGAAGAACAGCAGAAGAUCCCCAAGACUUUCCAGCCUGUUGAACUUCUGCAUGUGUGACACCGAGGAGAAGCAGAGAGGCAAACAAACCAGAGCAUUUUCACAAACAUUCAGAAAUCCCACAAUCUCCGCAGACUUCGGCACUAUUUCUAGAUCUAAUUAUAAAACAGCAAGUGAUGCUGGCCUAUUCCAGGGAAAUUGUUGAUCUCACUCCAGGCGUGGUCUCUGUCUACAGGUGGUGAAUUUCAGCUACAGAGAACAGUGCAACAGGGACAGAGUCGAACCUUGCCAAUUCCCACCUGGACACAGUGACUACAGGAAAAGGAUCCAGGAGAAUAAAAUUACCCUCCAAAAAAUUGAUUCCUGAGCGGAACACGGAUGUCUGACUCGUAGAAUUUCUGUGUAAGCGAGGGCAAAAUCCCCCUGCUUUUGUUGGUGGUUGGAGUCUCCAGGGCCAUUCAGUGUAUUGAAAGUCUCAGUACUGCUGGUACUCGGGGAGGACUCAGUCCGUUCCCUCUCAAGGCCUUCUGUUUUAUAAAGCCACUUGGGGUGAAGAAGAAAUCACAUUCUUCCCACCCUCUCUUGCCUUUACAAUGUCCACGCUGGCUGGCAGUCCAAGACAACAGUUGAGCUAUUAAAUUUUGAACCUGUGUCCUAACUGUUCAUCAAAAGUGAAGGCAAGAUUGGUGAAGGAAUGUUCUUCAUCUUCAGCCGCCUUUAUCAAGUGGUCAGAAGUUCAGGGGGCGGCGGCUGUGACCUUCUACUGCCAUUUCUCAGUGGCAGAGGGGAAUUUUCUUCUGGGCUUCAGCAGCUGCACGACCCCUGCGUGACCCUCUGACCCUCCCCCUUUCUCCAGCCUCCCACCCCAAGCACGUUCAUGUUGACGCUUCUGCAGAAAAUGGAGAGGGGAAUGGUGCACCCCCCGGGGGCCUGUCACCCCUCACACACCUGCCUCCAUUCUGCGGGAGCCAAGGAGUUGGUGGCAGAGAAGGAUGGCUGGGGAGGAAGGCCUAGGAUCAGUAUUGCAAAGAUGGGGCAGCAGGUGGGGCCUGGUGCCUAUAAGCAGGAAGCUUUGGUUUUAAUUAAUGAUACCUAGCAAGUUGGCACCAGGGGACAGUGAAGGCAGGGAUGGGAUCCUUGGACUGGAAAAGUGGGUGGGAUUCAGUUUGGCUAAGGAUACAAAAGUUCUCAUCCUUGGACUGAAAACCUUCUCUGUCUCUCCCAGUCAUUCAGUCCUAGAACAAUAUCAUUUUCAAAAGGUCUGGUUCGGUCUUCCUAGCAAGAACUGGGCGCUGUGAGCAGCACAGAAGAAAAGAGCACUUUCCAUUUGAAAAAUGAGCCUCAAAGUCCCUAGUUCUGCCUGAAGCCAAAAGCUCCUGACUUCCACCAGUGUCUCUACAAUGGAUAAUGGGUAGUUUUUUAUACUUUGAAAAUCGCUCGGUUUUUUUCUCUGCCGGUUUAGUAAGCUCUCGUAAGCAGUGUUGAACAAGAAAUACUACGUCUCAUGGAAAUGGCUUUAUUUCCACGAUAUCCACAUACAGGCUUGUUUUCAGAGUGACUCAGAAGUGCCGGACAGUGUACUCUGAAUGGAGGGUGAAAGGGAGAUGACUGAAACAUUUGCUCUGGGGGAAGAAACUGAGCAGAGACACCUAUUCAUUCUCAUUGACCUUGGAGGUGGAUAUCAAGUAAUGCUGCAGGUCAGCCCUAAUUAUUUGCUGAGGGGCAGGCAGGGCUCCUGUUCCGUGCUUUGUAGCCACGAUCUUCUCCCGCAGGGAGCUGCAGUAUCGAUGCUGUUCCCAAGGAGGCCGGGUGCGCUGGAUGCGUCCUGGCUCUGCCUGGUCACGUGACAUCUUAGUAGCGUUGUCCUUCAAGCCAGCCAACCCUGGUGUCAUUGGUAAUGCCACAGAGUGACAAAUACCUGACUGUAUAAAACUGGUGACUUUCUACCUGGCUCCCUUCUGGAAUAUUUGCAGUCUGCAAAGCAGUCUGAUCAAACAUUAGAUUAACUUAGCUGGCCUUCAAAAAUAUUGAUUCAAAUGGAAAUCACCUUAAAAAGUUCAGAUGCCCAGUCCCACUUCAGAUCAAUGAAAUAGAAUCACCUGAGAAUGGGGCCUGGGCAUUAGCAUUUAAAAAGUCUUCUCAGGUGGGUGCUUCUAAGGUGCCAGAGCCAGGAACUCCUGACCUAGAGACACAAAAGCUAUCUCUCAGCUGUGUUUUCUGGGAUGUCUGGGUCUCUUCUCUCUGCGAGUGGUGCUAUGACACUCCUCGGUGUGGGCUGGGGGCCACUGAAGAGCGUUCACGUUCCUGGGAUGGGGUUUCACUAUUUCUGUCCCGUUAGGGAAACGGGCAUGGAGUGGGCUGAGCCCACCUGGAAGCGGACACCACACACACACACACACACACACACCCUCUUCCCAGGUUGAAAGGCUGCCGGCACCGAUCACCUGGCUGGGCACUCAAGGUUUUCAGUAACCAUGGGAACUGCAGUCCCGUGACCUCAACUUCUAAUCUAGGGAGAUUUUCUCGCCCAUAUUCUGGUUUCUCAUUGAUGAAAAGGGUAUUUAUGGAAGACGCAAACUCAAAGCAUACAUGGAAAGCUGGUGUGGCUGUCUUAGGAUCCAGCAAAGUAGGCUUCAGGAGACAGAGUAUAAACAGAGGUGAUUCCCCUCAAAUGCCCGGGUCCCACCCCGUUCUCCCUACCCCCGCACUGCCUGGGCACGGGGUCCUUCAGACCCUGUGGUUCAGCUGCAUCUGCAGGACUGCGAUCUGGAGAGAGGCGCCUGGGGCCACGCCUCUGGGGGCCCUACAGGUCCUCUGGGGUCCAGACUCCCCAGUUCCUCCUUACACUACCCGCUCUGGAGUGCUUCUCCCCACUUAUUCUCCCUUCUCUCACCCUCCAGGCCCUUGGCAUAAUCUCAUCCAGGGAUUUAGCUUUUACAAAAGCAGGGAAGAAUCUCAGCUGGCCCAAAUCCCGGAGGCAGGGAAGUGUGAAGCUUGGCUACCAGCUGGAAAUGGGUGUGGGUGCGGAAUGAAGGGAACCAGGCUCAAAUCAGCAUUUUAACAGUCAGCCCCGCCCCCCAUGUCCUGCCACCGGCCCCAAGGGCCCAGAGCAGCUCCUGGUUUCUGACCUGGGCUGUUCCAGUCUCUGGGUCUCUGUUUGGACAAGAGAUGCAGAGGAGCUGACUUUCUUAUCUCUCCCCACUGGCAGCUCAGACUUUCAUGUGUAUAAGGAAGCCCUCACUUUUCUCAGGGACCUCCCAGGUCACUCAGAAGUCUCACUGAAUUGAGUUAUUUCUCUGCAGCAGCAUAAGGGUAUACAUUUGGCUUGGGGACCAAAUCCUCACUGGGGAUGUUUGGUCCUGACCCUCCUCUGUGUUCAGGGAAGAGAGCCCUUCUCACUCAACGAUGCAGAUGUGCUCUCAUAUGAAAAGCUCAGUAUGGCUAAGCAUUAGAGAAAUGCAAAUCAGAACUAAAACGAGGUAUCACCUCACACCAGUCAGAAUGGCCAUCAUUUAGAAGUCUACAAAUAAUCAAUGCUGGAGAGGGUGUGGAGAUAAAGGAACCCUCCUAUACUGUUGGUGGGAAUGUAAAUUGGUGCAGCCAUUAUGGAGGACAGUACACAGGUUCCUUAAAGAACUAAAACUAGACUUAUCUUGUGAUUCAGUAAUCCUACUCCUGGACAUAUAUCUAGAGAAAACUAUAACUCAAAAAGAGAUAUGCACCCCAGUGUUCAUAGCAGCACUAUUUACAAUAGCCAAGACAUGGAAACAACCUCAAUGUCCAUCAAUAGAUGACUGGGUAAAGAAGAUGUGAAAUACACACACACACACACACACACACACACACACACACACACACACACACACACACACACAGGAAUAUUACUCAGCCAUAAAAAAGAAAGAAUGAAAUAAUGCCAUUUGCAGCAACAUGGAUGGACCUAGAGAUGAUCAUAUUAAGUGAAGUAUUUCAGAGAGAGAAAGACAUUAUAUGAUAUCACUUCUAUGUGGAAUCUAAAAAAAAAAUGAUACAAAUUCUAUUUACAAACCAGAAAUAGACUCACAGACAUAGAAAACAAACCAUGGUUACCGAAGGGGAAAGGGUGGAGAGGGAUAAAUUAGGGGCCAGGGAUUAACGACACACAUUACUAUAUUUAAAAUAGGUAAACAACAAGGACCUACUGUAUAGCACAGGGAACUAUAUUCAAUUUCUUGUAAUAACAUAUAACAGAAAAGAAUCUGAAAAGAAAAAGAAGCAUGUAUAUGUAUAACUGAAUCACUUUGCUGUACACCUGGAACUAACACUGUCAAUCAACUACACUUCAAUAAAAAAUUUAAAAAACAAUACAGACGUGUUCUGUCUGAUGAUGAAAUCGCACUGGUGGGGCGACUAGGAACUUGCUACUCAAAGCCAGGUCUGUGGACUAGCAAGUGUCAUCUGGGAGCCUCUUAGAAAUGCAGAUUCGAGGCCGACCCCAAUCCUGCUGCAUCAGAAUCUGCAUUUUAAUAAGAUCCCAGGUAAUUUGUACACACAUUAAAAUUUAA